UUUUGUUGACAAAAUGAAAAACCACUGUGUAGUUUACUCAGAAACAUCCCUGUAGUCCUGUACAGUUUUGGAAAUAAGCUUCUAACCAUUUUGUUUAUAAUUUCCAGGUUAUGUCGACUCCUGGCCGUCGCUGAUCAACGUCACAAGUGACAAUGAAAUGUGGUUAUCCUGGUUUGUUGCUCCUGGCUCCGAGCCCGUAAUCACUGAUUCAGAUGUCAGACUGGAAAGUCGGCCUGAAGUCACCGUCUAUGUCAGGACCUUUGGCGGCACGCCAAGCAUCGCAACAGGUCACGAAAAUGAAAUGGAGCUUUGCCGCAACCUGUCUGAAGCUGGGAUAAAGUGCACUGAACACCAAACUUACGCUGGGGCUGGUUAUGACCCAUAUAUCUCUUUUUAUCACCACAAUGAGAUCUGGAUCGACAAACCCCAAACCCAGUAAACUGAAUCACUGCAGUUAUUCUCUAUUUAUCCUUUAAAUCAGCAUAUUCACUGUUUCACUUUUGGGGUAGAAUGCCAAGUAUAUGUAAUACAAUCACAGGCACCUUUUGCACGAUCAAAUUCUGCAGUCCUGUUGAAAUGAGCAGACAAAUUGUAGGUAGCUAGCAGACAGACAUGCCUUGAUGCUUGUGAUGCAUGCUGGAAACCGGUUUUAGGAAUGUUAUGGUAUUUACCAGUAGUCCUUCCUGCUUUUUACUGAUAAGUGAUGAUAUUUUUGGCAUCUUAUAAUGCUUCUUGCUUUGCUAUAAUCAAAAAAUAUACUGUAUAUCUGUUCUUUCUCUUAACAAUACAUUUUUAACAGAUUUA
Plectropomus leopardus (leopard coralgrouper) is the source of this 804-nucleotide non-coding RNA. NCBI's taxonomy places the organism in Eukaryota, Metazoa, Chordata, Actinopteri, Perciformes, Serranidae. The record is from RefSeq and is a predicted model, not a curated record.